RNAcentral lists this long non-coding RNA (1204 nucleotides) under Gallus gallus (chicken). Lineage: Eukaryota; Metazoa; Chordata; Aves; Galliformes; Phasianidae. The record is from RNAcentral.
UGAAACUGGGCAUACGGUUUCUGACCAGACUAUUCACCUACAAACCAGGGCCAGCCAUUUGGUCACCCAGAAAUGCCACAAUAUGGAGUGGAGGUGAAACCGUGGACAUGGAGGAAGUCAUUUUAACAUCAACAGAGAAAUCUGUUUCACAGGAGCAAAUUUACAGUUGCCAUAAACUCUGGCAUGAUGAAAGCUGUCAGAGUGGCCAGUUGCACAGCACAGGACCAGUGCGAUGUUAGAAGGAGCGAGCGGGACAAGCCAGGCAUCAGGAGAUACUGCAGAGCACUCCAAGGGGUCUGUGUGUGUCCUGAGAGGCAGAUGCCAUCCUGUGGAACUGAGCAUAGAAGCAAAAAUUACGGACCACCGCUACAGACUGAUUCCCUCAAGUGGCCAGAACAGAGAACACAGGCCGAGCUUCCAGCUGCUGGGCUCCAAAUUGCGUGAAGUAGAUGGUGGUGACUGAAAAUGAGGAGAACUGCACGUUUUGGAUGCAGCCAGUGAGACACUUCUAUCAAAUCUCUGCUCGCUUACAAAAAGGAUACAAAGUCAAAGCAUACAGAAAUCAAGAGUGGAGGCAGUGAAAACAUUUGGAACGAAUGGAUGAAAACCUUCAGUCUCAGAUGGCUAUCUUUGAUCCAAGUGGCCCAGCUUCUUCAGCAUUUGGAACUUUCCAUUGCAUAAACCAGAAGUGGAAACAGAUUCUACUUUUCUUGAGACGAGCAUACAUGAAGUAUCUCCAUUGACUUACUGGGGAAAGUCCAGAUUUAAGUCAUUUUUGACAAGAGUAGAAAUUUGGCCCAACUUGGGCAGAAUCAAACCCAUGAGCACACAGAUUUCUAAUUUUUUUUCCCCCUAGUUUCACCCUGAGCUUUACUUUGAUUUCAAAGCUCUCACUGUGUCAUUGUAAACAUUCGGUCUUUAAAAUACUGCACUGCUCCAAAGUUAUCUGCAUGUGAGUUUAUUUUACAUUAAGUACUCAAAAUAUCUGAACAUAAAAUGCCAACAGAAACAACAAAAAUAUAAACAAAUCACUGCCUUCAGCAGAAACACUUUAAUUCAGAAUGUAAUAAAGGCAGUCGAGGUUUAAAACACUUAUGCCAGAGUGUAAACUGAAGGAGUUAGUAACUUUUUUCCCCCUGUAUGCAGUUCUGCUACUGCAGCCAAAAUAUUCUCACAGGUUGUUUAAAAAAGAAAAAAGGGAAAG